CUGGCCUCGUCAUUGGGAUCUUAAUUGGCAUAUUGACUACUAGAAAGGGGCACAAAGGAAGUUUCUGGCACAGCCUUGAUGUUUAUCACUCCCAAAUGACUUAUGGAAGCUGAUGCAGCACACAUUUUCAGUACUGGCAUACAGAAGGUACUCAAUAAGCAGAUUGAAAGCAUAAAUAAUGUUAUCAUUCACACUGUGGCAAAGAACUAUAAAACCAUGUUGAAGAAACUGAAUAGAAGACUUUAA
RNAcentral lists this long non-coding RNA (246 nucleotides) under Vulpes vulpes (red fox). RNAcentral's name for it is "lncRNA (ENSVVUG00000008917.1)". The record is from RNAcentral. Lineage: Eukaryota; Metazoa; Chordata; Mammalia; Carnivora; Canidae.